Molecule: transfer RNA, 63 nt
Filed under: Eucriotettix oculatus
Lineage: Eukaryota; Metazoa; Arthropoda; Insecta; Orthoptera; Tetrigidae
Description: tRNA-Trp
Source: RNAcentral
AAGUACUUAAGUUAAAUAAACUAAUAACCUUCAAAGUUAGAAAUAAAUUAUAUUUAGGACUUA